GGUGGGUGUGGCAACAGUAGCGUGCUGAACUGUCAAGUAAUGUUCGUUUGGCUGCCUGGGGUUCGACCUACUUUUUUUGAGCAAGCAUUGAUUAUGCGUGACACAGUCUCAAUUUGUGGGACGCAUGAAUUUGGCUUUAAACGCUGUGCGCGCACGCGCUACGCGGGACGGGUGGUCACCAUAGACAGUAAAAGAAGUGGUCACCCUAAGUACAACUGUGAAACCAUAUCUGAACAACGGACAGUUGUGUAUUUAUGUGAUGUUAUUUGUACUCCGCAUCACUAGAGGGCGACACACCAUUUAGAAGUGACGAAGGUUACAAGCAAGAUGGCGGCGAUGGGGCGUGUUCUUUCUUUUACUGUCUAUGGUUCUUUAUGUUGGUGGUCUGGCGGAAGAAGUGGACGGGAAAGAUUGUGAGACAGGUGACAAACUGUCAUUGAUAACAUGAAUGAGUCGGAGCUGUUUGGCAGAACCAUCCGAGUGAACAUGGCCAAACAUGAGCCCGACCAGGUCUGCUGUCGAUGGCAAACUCUAGACCCAAUGCUAAUGACUGGCAGUUCUUCAUCACAGCUUAUUUGCUGUUCAAGAAACAUUUAUUUUUAUCAAAGUUUACAACAGUUAUUGAUGUUUUAAAGAUUCUUUGAUAAAUAAAAAAGUCAAAAAUAAUUUUUUUUGAAAUGAGAAUCUUUUUUGAUGCAUUAAAAAAAUUCCGCGCUGUUAUUUUUGAUGAAUUUGAUGCAUUCUUUCUGAAUAAAAUAUUCCCUUUG
Molecule: long non-coding RNA, 767 nt
Organism: Carassius gibelio (silver crucian carp)
Lineage: Eukaryota; Metazoa; Chordata; Actinopteri; Cypriniformes; Cyprinidae
Exons: 4
Source: RefSeq, a predicted model, not a curated record